AGAGUUUGAUCCUGGCUCAGAACGAACGCUGGCGGCAUGCCUAACACAUGCAAGUCGAACGAAGCCUUCGGGCUUAGUGGCGCACGGGUGCGUAACGCGUGGGAAUCUGCCCUUGGGUUCGGAAUAACAGUUAGAAAUGACUGCUAAUACCGAAUGAUGUCUUCGGACCAAAGAUUUAUCGCCCAAGGAUGAGCCCGCGUCGGAUUAGCUAGUUGGUGAGGUAAAAGGCUCACCAAGGCGACGAUCCGUAGCUGGUCUGAGAGGAUGAUCAGCCACACUGGGACUGAGACACGGCCCAGACUCCUACGGGAGGCAGCAGUGGGGAAUAUUGGACAAUGGGCGAAAGCCUGAUCCAGCAAUGCCGCGUGAGUGAUGAAGGCCUUAGGGUUGUAAAGCUCUUUUACCCGGGAUGAUAAUGACAGUACCGGGAGAAUAAGCCCCGGCUAACUCCGUG
RNAcentral lists this ribosomal RNA (454 nucleotides) under uncultured bacterium. RNAcentral's name for it is "bacterial SSU rRNA". It matches the Rfam family "Bacterial small subunit ribosomal RNA", at positions 8 to 507 of the family's 1533-position model. The record is from RNAcentral.